Molecule: non-coding RNA, 19 nt
Filed under: Arabidopsis thaliana (thale cress)
Lineage: Eukaryota; Viridiplantae; Streptophyta; Magnoliopsida; Brassicales; Brassicaceae
Source: RNAcentral
GCACCCAUGGCCUAAUGGA